UAACGCGUGAGUAACCUGCCUCUCAGAGGGGGAGUAACGUUCUGAAAAGGACGCUAAUACCGCAUGACAUCCCGGGGCCGCAUGGUCCUGGGAUCAAAGGAGCAAUCCGCUGAGAGAUGGACUCGCGUCCGAUUAGCUAGUUGGUGAGAUAAAGGCCCACCAAGGCGACGAUCGGUAGCCGGACUGAGAGGUUGAACGGCCACAUUGGGACUGAGACACGGCCCAGACUCCUACGGGAGGCAGCAUG
RNAcentral lists this ribosomal RNA (247 nucleotides) under uncultured bacterium. RNAcentral's name for it is "partial 16S ribosomal RNA". It matches the Rfam family "Bacterial small subunit ribosomal RNA", at positions 111 to 353 of the family's 1533-position model. The record is from RNAcentral.